This 191-nucleotide small nuclear RNA is filed under the name Canis lupus familiaris (dog). RNAcentral's name for it is "U4 spliceosomal RNA (multiple genes)". The stretch from base 1 to 78 matches the Rfam family "U4 spliceosomal RNA". The record is from RNAcentral. Lineage: Eukaryota; Metazoa; Chordata; Mammalia; Carnivora; Canidae.
AGCUUUGCGCAGUGGCAGUAUCGUAGCCAAUGAGGUUUAUCCGAGGUGCGAUUAUUGCUAAUUGAAAAACUAAAAAUAGAAUUACCAUAUGAUCCAACAAUUCCACUUCUCGUUACCUAUUUUAAGAAAAUAAAAACACUAAUUCAAAAAGAUAUAUGCACCUCUCUGUUCUUUGCAACACUAUUCACAGU